This is a non-coding RNA of Prochlorococcus marinus str. MIT 9313, 58 nucleotides long. The record is from Rfam. Lineage: Bacteria; Bacillati; Cyanobacteriota; Cyanophyceae; Synechococcales; Prochlorococcaceae.
AACCGUUGGCCCCGUUCCGGGGCGCAGUCAGACUUAAGCCAGGCAACGGGGGCUUAAG